CACUCCUGCGGGAGGCAGCAGUGGGGAAUUUUGGACAAUGGGCGAAAGCCUGAUCCAGCAAUGCCGCGUGUGUGAAGAAGGCCUUCGGGUUGUAAAGCACUUUUGUCCGGAAAGAAAUCCUUGGCUCUAAUACAGUCGGGGGAUGACGGUACCGGAAGAAUAAGCACCGGCUAACUACGUGCCAGCAGCCGCGGUAAUACGUAGGGUGCGAGCGUUAAUCGGAAUUACUGGGCGUAAAGCGUGCGCAGGCGGUUUGCUAAGACCGAUGUGAAAUCCCCGGGCUCAACCUGGGAACUGCAUUGGUGACUGGCAGGCUAGAGUAUGGCAGAGGGGGGUAGAAUUCCACGUGUAGCAGUGAAAUGCGUAGAGAUGUGGAGGAAUACCGAUGGCGAAGGCAGCCCCCUGGGCCAAUACUGACGCUCAUGCACGAAAGCGUGGGGAGCAAACAGGAUUAGAAACCCGGGUAGUCCCAUG
This 474-nucleotide ribosomal RNA is filed under the name uncultured organism. Its description in RNAcentral is "partial 16S ribosomal RNA". It matches the Rfam family "Bacterial small subunit ribosomal RNA", at positions 334 to 799 of the family's 1533-position model. The record is from RNAcentral.